Molecule: ribosomal RNA, 236 nt
Filed under: uncultured bacterium
Lineage: Bacteria
Description: partial 16S ribosomal RNA
Rfam family: Bacterial small subunit ribosomal RNA
Source: RNAcentral
UGGGCAACCUGCCUUACACAGGGGGAUAACACUUAGAAAUAGGUGCUAAUACCGCAUAAGCGCACAGCUUUGCAUGAAGCAGUGUGAAAAACUCCGGUGGUGUAAGAUGGACCCGCGUCUGAUUAGCUGGUUGGCAGGGUAAAGGCCUACCAAGGCGACGAUCAGUAGCCGGCCUGAGAGGGUGAACGGCCACAUUGGGACUGAGACACGGCCCAGACUCCUACGGGAGGCAGCAG